Cyprinus carpio (common carp) is the source of this 544-nucleotide long non-coding RNA. RefSeq lists it as uncharacterized. The transcript has 2 exons. NCBI's taxonomy places the organism in Eukaryota, Metazoa, Chordata, Actinopteri, Cypriniformes, Cyprinidae. The record is from RefSeq and is a predicted model, not a curated record.
GCCGCGCGCAGCGUCUUCUGUGAUUUCUAACGGCUCGGUUCUCUCAAGUCUGCACUCGAUGCAUCCUCGAUAUCAAGAACACAUCCGGGCACUUCCAUGCGUCCUCUGUACUUGCGUUCUUGAGAAUUGGAAUUGAACUUCGACGGUUAAUGAUGACGAUCCUCAAGGUCUAAGCGAAACCACAUCACCCCGCCUCCAUUCAGAUUGACGCGCCGUGCACAGCCUGUAGGAGACAGAUCUCCGCUUUUUCGCAAUGCAAGGAGCGUUUUUAUGCAGUUUCCCGUCUGGUUGACUGGUUCUCGUCCUUGUUUCUCUGUGCUGUUUGAUUCGCUGUUGUCUUCCCCGGAACCCCGUCCACUCUUCACCACCGGAUGCACCUACUACCACCACGGACUGCUCAUCUCAGGCCUGUGUCACGCUCUCCUGCUGCAUCUACUCACCGCCACUUCCUGGAUCAUCGUUUGCCAUCGCUGUUACCACCUGUUGUUUUCCCUUGGACUCAGUUAUACAUUCCUGUUCUCAAUAAACUUUACAUUUAACUCUU